CCUACGGGGGGCUGCAGUGGGGAAUAUUGGACAAUGGGCGAAAGCCUGAUCCAGCCAUGCCGCGUGUGUGAAGAAGGCCUUCGGGUUGUAAAGCACUUUCAGUGGGGAAGAAAGCCUUGGGGCUAAUACCCUCGAGGAAGGACAUCACCCACAGAAGAAGCACCGGCUAACUCCGUGCCAGCAGCCGCGGUAAUACGGAGGGUGCGAGCGUUAAUCGGAAUUACUGGGCGUAAAGCGCGCGUAGGCGGUCUGAUAAGCCGGUUGUGAAAGCCCCGGGCUCAACCUGGGAACGGCAUCCGGAACUGUCAGGCUAGAGUGCAGGAGAGGAAGGUAGAAUUCCCGGUGUAGCGGUGAAAUGCGUAGAGAUCGGGAGGAAUACCAGUGGCGAAGGCGGCCUUCUGGACUGACACUGACGCUGAGGUGCGAAAGCGUGGGUAGCAAACAGGAUAGAUACCCUUGUAGUC
RNAcentral lists this ribosomal RNA (464 nucleotides) under Vreelandella stevensii. RNAcentral's name for it is "partial 16S ribosomal RNA". It matches the Rfam family "Bacterial small subunit ribosomal RNA", at positions 338 to 795 of the family's 1533-position model. The record is from RNAcentral. Lineage: Bacteria; Pseudomonadati; Pseudomonadota; Gammaproteobacteria; Oceanospirillales; Halomonadaceae.